UCCACCGCCACCACCACCACCACCGCUGUUAACAGCAACGGCACUAAACAAUCAGACCCAGAAAAACCCAUCAACGACGUUGAAGAUGACGACGUUUCCCCCAUUGAGGAGGUCAGGCUAACCGUUACCAACACGGACGACCCGACCCUUCCUGUAUGGACCUUCAGGAUGUGGUUCUUGGGUUUGCUAUCAUGUGGACUUCUCUCUUUCCUUAACCAAUUCUUUUCUUACAGAACAGAGCCUCUUGUUAUCACCCAAAUCACCGUACAAGUUGCCACACUUCCUGUCGGCCGUUUCUUGGCUGCUGUGCUGCCUACUACCAAGUUUCGGAUACCUGGUCUCGGGUCAAGAACGGUUUCUUUGAACCCGGGGCCAUUUAACAUGAAAGAGCACGUACUCAUCUCCAUCUUUGCAAAUGCUGGAAGUGCAUUUGGAAAUGGAUCUGCUUAUGCUGUUGCUAUUGUUACUAUAAUCAAAGCAUUUUACAAGAGGAAAAUUUCAAUCUUGGCUAGUUGGAUUCUCAUAGUUACAACACAGGUAUUAGGAUAUGGGUGGGCGGGGCUGCUGAGGAAGUAUGUGGUGGAGCCUGCUGAAAUGUGGUGGCCUAGCACUCUGGUUCAGGUCUCCCUCUUCAGGGCUCUGCAUGAGAAAGAUGAAAAAGAUCAACGCAUGACAAGGGCUAAGUUCUUCCUAAUUGCACUAAUUUGCAGUUUUUCCUGGUAUGUAGUUCCAGGAUACCUAUUCACAACACUU
RNAcentral lists this unclassified non-coding RNA (753 nucleotides) under Hevea brasiliensis (rubber tree). The record is from RNAcentral. Lineage: Eukaryota; Viridiplantae; Streptophyta; Magnoliopsida; Malpighiales; Euphorbiaceae.